GUCCACGCCGUAAACGUUGAAUACUCGAUCUUAGCGAUACACAGUUAGGAUCCAAGCGAAAGCGUUAAGUAUUCCACCUGGGAAGUACGUUCGCAAGAAUGAAACUCAAAGGAAUUGACGGGGGCCCGCACAAGCGGAGGAGCAUGUGGUUUAAUUCGAUGAUACGCGAGGAACCUUACCUGGGCUUGAAUGUGAGUGACCGAUGCCGAAAGGUGUCUUCCCUUCGGGGCACAAAACAAGGUGCUGCAUGGCUGUCGU
This 258-nucleotide ribosomal RNA is filed under the name uncultured bacterium. RNAcentral's name for it is "partial 16S ribosomal RNA". It matches the Rfam family "Bacterial small subunit ribosomal RNA", at positions 793 to 1055 of the family's 1533-position model. The record is from RNAcentral.